RNAcentral lists this ribosomal RNA (446 nucleotides) under uncultured bacterium. RNAcentral's name for it is "bacterial SSU rRNA". It matches the Rfam family "Bacterial small subunit ribosomal RNA", at positions 330 to 792 of the family's 1533-position model. The record is from RNAcentral.
GCCAGACUCCUACGGGAGGCAGCAGUCGGGAAUAUUGCGCAAUGGAGGAAACUCUGACGCAGUGACGCCGCGUAUAGGAAGAAGGUUUUCGGAUUGUAAACUAUUGUCGUUAGGGAAGAUAAAAGACUGUACCUAAGGAGGAAGCCCCGGCUAACUAUGUGCCAGCAGCCGCGGUAAUACAUAGGGGGCAAGCGUUAUCCGGAUUCACUGGGUGUAAAGGGAGCGUAGACGGCGACGCAAGUCUGGAGUGAAAGCCCGGGGCCCAACCCCGGGACUGCUCUGGAAACUGCGUCGCUGGAGUACGGGAGGGGCAGGCGGAAUUCCUGGUGUAGCGGUGAAAUGCGUAGAUAUCAGGAGGAACACCGGCGGCGAAGGCGGCCUGCUGGACCGUGACUGACGUUGAGGCUCGAGAGCGUGGGGAGCAAACAGGAUUAGAUACCCCCGUA